RNAcentral lists this transfer RNA (71 nucleotides) under Marmota monax (woodchuck). RNAcentral describes it as "tRNA.Ala". The record is from RNAcentral. Lineage: Eukaryota; Metazoa; Chordata; Mammalia; Rodentia; Sciuridae.
GGGAUUGUGGCUCAGUGGUGGAGCACUCUCCUCGCACGUGCGAGGACCUGGGUUCAAUCCUCAGCAGCACA